Long non-coding RNA from Astatotilapia calliptera (eastern happy), 1263 nucleotides. The record is from Ensembl. NCBI's taxonomy places the organism in Eukaryota, Metazoa, Chordata, Actinopteri, Cichliformes, Cichlidae.
UCCUCGGGGACUCGCGCCGAUGUUUUAACGCUUUAUUAUUUGUGCCUGAACGCGCGAGAGAAGAGAAUUAUUAGAGAAUAUGACAGAUCGAUAACGCGACUGCAACGGAUGGCUCUCCACGCACGGCUCCGUGGAAGCGAUCCCUGCCCGGAGUGAAAAAAGAAAAAAAGAGUUUUCUUUGAGGAGGGGAGAUUUCCAACAGGAGACCUCAACUUCGAGUUGGCACAACUUUUUUUACGCGAUGCGUAAAGAAAAAAAAGGACACAUGACAGAAAGACGUCGCGCACUGGCUCGACUGCAACUACAGGCUGCCUGUGCGCGGUGCUUUGGAUAUAUUAUGCUUCUAUAGGGGGGUGGAAGAGACUGAAUAAUGCAAUUAUAGAUUCAGUGUCCCAGCCUUGACAAAAGACAGGGCUUCAAUGGAGGCUUUGUUAAAGGAUUAUAUAAUGAUUAUGGGGUAAUUAUGGGAACGGUUUGGUAAUAAUAAAAAAGUAUCAAGUGCUCUCUUGUACGGACAGCUUGUUUUCUACAAUGUAAGAGCACGAUAAGACGGACGGACAGACAGACAGGCAGGCGGUGCUGCUGACAGCUAGUGGCGGGAUGACGGCAGACAGCCUCGAUUAUUCAAAAUGUCGAACCGAGAGAGGCAUUAAUGUCAGCGCCUGAGAUGCUAUCAGAUGUCCGCGGAACCGGACGUGGGCCCACAGCGGGGUAUCUGGGGGUCAUAUUCAGAAGAGCCCCCCUCCCAGCUCCCAGCCACUGCUCUCGUGAUCUUCUCCCCUCUGCGUGCUGCUUGUGUCACGCCGAGGAACAUGGAAGCGCAAAGAAAAGACACGCAAAGGCAAAAACCAGACGUCCACAGUGGGGUCGGCAGUCUGACAAUCAGCACUUUCAGCUCUAAAAGCCAUCCGGUGUUCAUGGAUGCUCGAAACCACACGCAGGACAAUCCACCCACGACGCUGUCAAAGCAAAGCAAGCCCCAAAACAAGAAUCUGCAAAAGGUGGAUGUUUUUACGUUAAUCGUAUUUUCACUGUAACCAGGUUUUGCUCAGGGCCUGGUGUGUCCCUCUGAUGGUUUUAACCAUUUACAAACCUUUAUAAACUUUAAACACCAAGUCUUUUAUUUGAAACCAACCCGGGACACACAAACGUGAUGAAUUUAACAGUAAAUUUAAAAAAGAAAGUUUCACUCCCUUUAUCUUAUUUGAAUUUAUUCAAGGUGUGAGUUUGAUGAUGCUAAAUAAUAAAAAUAAAAAGCCUCUG